GCAUUCCAGAAAAGCCACCCUACCGAAAUCCGACUAGCAGCCAUACAGGCCUUCAGACGCAUUCCCUGCGCUGCCAACGUAAGUGACUGACACUCGCACCAUAUUAGUCCAGCUGUAUCAAGCCGCUGAUGAUGAUGUGGAAAUAAGAAUUGCUUCAUAUUAUAUAGCAAUGAAAUGUCCGAGUAAAGAGCUAUUUCGCCAAGUACAACAGACUUUUCAGCGAGAGACAUCUAGCCAAGUGGGUUCUUUUGUUUGGAGUCACCUCUCUCAACUCCUGGAGACAGACGACCCCCUGAAAGAAUACCUCCGUGACUCCAUUCCUGAUGACAUUCUU
Molecule: long non-coding RNA, 334 nt
Filed under: Crocodylus porosus (Australian saltwater crocodile)
Lineage: Eukaryota; Metazoa; Chordata; Crocodylia; Crocodylidae
Description: lncRNA (ENSCPRG00005003758.1)
Source: RNAcentral